This is a long non-coding RNA of Cucumis sativus (cucumber), 627 nucleotides long. RefSeq lists it as uncharacterized. The transcript has 2 exons. The record is from RefSeq and is a predicted model, not a curated record. NCBI's taxonomy places the organism in Eukaryota, Viridiplantae, Streptophyta, Magnoliopsida, Cucurbitales, Cucurbitaceae.
GUUACGCAGAAGGCAAGGAAGAACGAACGAAAACGUAGAACGAACGAAAACGCUCCUCCGACUGAUUCCUCCAGCGAUGCUAGUUGAGGCAAUCCCUUCGAGGCUCCGACGACGUGAACGCAGACUAAGACGCUAUCACGCUUGACUCCUCCAACGGUUUGAAAGCAAACACAAACGCUCCUCCAGCCACAAACAUUAGUUGUUGAACAAAGAUGCAGACGCUCCUCUGGCUUGAAACGUUAGUUGAACGUAAACCUUGAUUGAAGUUGAAGUUGACGAUUAGCAAAGUUCCAUAUGAUUGAUAAACACUAGGUAGUAGGCACUACGCAGAAUGUCGACCAGUUUGACCAAUAACGAAGGUAACACGAAAUCAGAUACAAGUAGCAAGAUCAAUAAUUGGUCUAGUGUGAACGAAAAUGAUGUCGUUGAGGUUAUCAUGCCACCACCAGAACUCCAACCAUCUCGAAAGAAGAGGAAAAACACGUUUAUGGUAUGGGAUCAUUUUACUAAAUGCUCUAAAUAUAGUGAUGAUGAUCCACAUGCUAAAUGUAAUUAUUGUGACGCGGUGUAUGCAUGCCAUCCAAGAAGAAAUGGAAAUUCAACUAUGAGAAUGCAUCUUGAACAUUA